RNAcentral lists this ribosomal RNA (637 nucleotides) under uncultured bacterium. Its description in RNAcentral is "bacterial SSU rRNA". It matches the Rfam family "Bacterial small subunit ribosomal RNA", at positions 11 to 644 of the family's 1533-position model. The record is from RNAcentral.
GUUUGAUCAUGGCUCAGGAUGAACGCUAGCUACAGGCUUAACACAUGCAAGUCGAACGAAGCACUUUAUUUGAUUUCCUUCGGGAUUGAUUAUUUUGUGACUGAGUGGCGGACGGGUGAGUAACGCGUGGGUAACCUGCCUUGUACAGGGGGAUAACAGUUGGAAACGGCUGCUAAUACCGCAUAAGCGCACAGCAUCGCAUGAUGCAGUGUGAAAAACUCCGGUGGUAUAAGAUGGACCCGCGUUGGAUUAGCUAGUUGGUGAGGUAACGGCCCACCAAGGCGACGAUCCAUAGCCGACCUGAGAGGGUGACCGGCCACAUUGGGACUGAGACACGGCCCAAACUCCUACGGGAGGCAGCAGUGGGGAAUAUUGCACAAUGGGCGAAAGCCUGAUGCAGCGACGCCGCGUGAGCGAAGAAGUAUUUCGGUAUGUAAAGCUCUAUCAGCAGGGAAGAAGAAAUGACGGUACCUGACUAAGAAGCACCGGCUAAAUACGUGCCAGCAGCCGCGGUAAUACGUAUGGUGCAAGCGUUAUCCGGAUUUACUGGGUGUAAAGGGAGCGCAGGCGGUACGGCAAGUCUGAUGUGAAAGCCCGGGGCUCAACCCCGGUACUGCAUUGGAAACUGUCGGACUAG